This 496-nucleotide small RNA is filed under the name Histoplasma capsulatum var. duboisii H88. RNAcentral's name for it is "Histoplasma capsulatum H88 hypothetical RNA". Lineage: Eukaryota; Fungi; Ascomycota; Eurotiomycetes; Onygenales; Ajellomycetaceae. The record is from RNAcentral.
AGGCGGCGAUGUCAUUGGCUACCGCUGUUAUGCGGCGGGAUUUUUCUUCUGGGGAGAGCAUUUCGAGGCCCGUUAGGCUGAGGGCGUUGGACAUGGGGGAGAUAGGUAGGUAAAGUAGGCUUCGGUGGUGGAGGUGUGGUAUUUAAAACAAAUCCAUUUUUAAUUUAAUUUAAUUUUGGUGCUGAUGCCUUGAAUCUUGCCUGAAUGUGCACUCCUCAUGGUAAUUUUAUGAGCUGCCCGGUGGGUGGUGACCCGUCAAUGUGACUUCUUCUUCAGUUGCCUUAUAUAUUCCUUGAUAAACCCCCCAAAAUUGCGACAUCCUGAGUAAGUACUGUACAGUACAAAGGAGGGGGAACAAGAACUGUGCGUCUUCCAGUAUGCGGGUGGGAAUUGCAGGAAGCCGGACAUCUAAAAGGAAACAAUCACCACAGUCUUUGGAUACCACGGGGAUAGGGGCAUGGAUGAACUCACUGGAUAGCCAAUGCAAAACAUAAAG